RNAcentral lists this ribosomal RNA (274 nucleotides) under uncultured bacterium. RNAcentral's name for it is "partial 16S ribosomal RNA". It matches the Rfam family "Bacterial small subunit ribosomal RNA", at positions 523 to 796 of the family's 1533-position model. The record is from RNAcentral.
CUACGGAGGGUGCAAGCGUUACUCGGAAUCACUGGGCGUAAAGCGCGCGCAGGCGGCUAUUUAAGUUGGAUGUGAAAGCCUAUGGCUCAACCAUAGAACUGCAUCCAAAACUAUUUAGCUAGAGUGUGGGAGAGGAAGAUGGAAUUAGUUGUGUAGGGGUAAAAUCCGUAGAGAUAACUAGGAAUACCAAAAGCGAAGGCAAUCUUCUGGAACACUACUGACGCUGAGGCGCGAAAGCGUGGGGAGCAGACAGGAUUAGAAACCCUAGUAGUCC